UCUUGGUCAUUUAGAGGAAGUAAAAGUCGUAACAAGGUUUCCGUAGGUGAACCUGCGGAAGGAUCAUUAAAGAAAUUUAAUAAUUUUGAAAAUGGAUUUUUUUUUUUUGUUUUGGCAAGAGCAUGAGAGCUUUUACUGGGCAAGAAGACAAGAGAUGGAGAGUCCAGCCGGGCCUGCGCUUAAGUGCGCGGUCCUGCUAGGCUUGUAAGUUUCUUUCUUGCUAUUCCAAACGGUGAGAGAUUUCUGUGCUUUUGUUAUAGGACAAUUAAAACCGUUUCAAUACAACACACUGUGGAGUUUUCAUAUCUUUGCAACUUUUUCUUUGGGCAUUCGAGCAAUCGGGGCCCAGAGGUUAACAAACACAAACAAUUUUAUCUAUUCAUUAAAUUUUUGUCAAAAACAAGAAUUUUCGUAACUGGAAAUUUUAAAAUAUUAAAAACUUUCAACAACGGAUCUCUUGGUUCUCGCAUCGAUGAAGAACGCAGCGAAAUGCGAUACGUAAUGUGAAUUGCAGAAUUCCGUGAAUCAUCGAAUCUUUGAACGCACAUUGCGCCCCUUGGUAUUCCAGGGGGCAUGCCUGUUUGAGCGUCAUUUCCUUCUCAAACAUUCUGUUUGGUAGUGAGUGAUACUCUUUGGAGUUAACUUGAAAUUGCUGGCCUUUUCAUUGGAUGUUUUUUUUCCAAAGAGAGGUUUCUCUGCGUGCUUGAGGUAUAAUGCAAGUACGGUCGUUUUAGGUUUUACCAACUGCGGCUAAUCUUUUUUUAUACUGAGCGUAUUGGAACGUUAUCGAUAAGAAGAGAGCGUCUAGGCGAACAAUGUUCUUAAAGUUUGACCUCAAAUCAGGUAGGAGUACCCGCUGAACUUAAGCAUAUCAAUAAGCGGAG
This 884-nucleotide ribosomal RNA is filed under the name uncultured fungus. RNAcentral describes it as "eukaryotic LSU rRNA". The stretch from base 438 to 591 matches the Rfam family "5.8S ribosomal RNA". The record is from RNAcentral. Lineage: Eukaryota; Fungi.